AUGUUUUUUUUUCCUGCACUUUCCCAAGUAGCAUUUCCCAUUUUCUGCUCAGUUUUGGUGAGCACGAACACCACGAGCUGUGUCCUCUCUCAGACCUCCGAGCCCAACCUGGGGGCAGCGGCAUUGCCCAUCGCCCAGCCCCAGCAGCAGCACCCAAGGGUGCUCUUUUGGGUCUCUCCGUUCCUCCAUGCUCACCAAAAAAGCUCCCAUGGGCAAACAGCCCGGCCCAUUGCACUGCAAGAUGUGGAGGUGAAUGAUGAGGUACAACAGGAAUCACUUCGUGGAGGCAGCCGUUGGGUUUUCUCUUGUCUUUUUGACACCUGUUUAAUAGGAUCCAAGGCAAAAAGUCAAAUUUUGGAUAAAACAUCAUUGAGUCGCCUGAGGAGGGGCUGCCAGGAGCGUGAGCUGGUACCGACAGCUGCCAAGAGCAUGUGCAGCCUUUCCCACCCUGGACCCACGCCUCCUUGGGCUAAUCUCUCACUUUUUUCAGUUAUUUCCUUUUUCUGUAGCGGGGAUUUGGCAGAAUUUGAGCAGCCCUGGCUGGCGGGGCCGUUUUGGUGGGAGCUUUGCGGGGUUUGCUGCUGGGGUUUUGUCCACAUCACAGGGGGUUUUGAAAGUGGUACCAAGCAACCUGUAAUAAAAAACGGAUAUUGCACGUUUGAAGCGAAAAUCAGAACCCUUUCCGUGAUGACUGAAGCAGCAAAAUCCCGCUCGUUCCAUCUUAAACCAUCACUGAGGCUCUUAGGAAAGAAUGCAAAAAAAAAAAAACAAAAAAACCCUGCUUUGAACAAAAAUGGCGAGGAUUUGCUGCUAAAUAAAAGUAAUCCUUGCAGGCCUCCUGCAGUGUCUUUUGUCUCGUUGUCUCCAUUUGGAAGCGCUCGGAGAAACACCCCUAAUCCCCCCAAAAGCAGACGUCCCUGCCUUUGGGGUUGGUACGGGACUGGUGGCCUUGGGGACAUGGAGCACUGGUGGCACAUCUGUACCCUGGCCUCGUGGCAAAAAUCCCGUCCCAGGCAGAACAGCAUCACCCACGGGCGGUCCUGGUGA
RNAcentral lists this long non-coding RNA (1047 nucleotides) under Anas platyrhynchos platyrhynchos (common mallard). Its description in RNAcentral is "lncRNA (ENSAPLG00000021875.1)". Lineage: Eukaryota; Metazoa; Chordata; Aves; Anseriformes; Anatidae. The record is from RNAcentral.